This 368-nucleotide ribosomal RNA is filed under the name uncultured organism. RNAcentral's name for it is "bacterial SSU rRNA". It matches the Rfam family "Bacterial small subunit ribosomal RNA", at positions 528 to 896 of the family's 1533-position model. The record is from RNAcentral.
UGUGGGGCAAGCGUUGUUCGGAAUUACUGGGCAUAAAGGGUGCGUAGGUGGCCUGAUAAGUCAGUGGUGAAAGCCGGCGGCCCAACCGUCGAAUUGCCAUUGAUACUGCUGGGCUUGAGUGCGUGAGGGGUUGGGGGAACGAGCGGUGUAGCGGUGAAAUGCGUAGAUAUCGCUCGGAAGGCCGGAGCCGAAGGGGCCCAACUGGUGCGCAACUGACACUGAGGCACGAAAGCGUGGGGAGCAAACAGGAUUAGAUACCCUGGUAGUCCACGCCGUAAACGAUGAGCACUAGGUGGGUGCCGAGGUAUCGGUGCCCGCCGGAGGCAAUUUGUUAAGUGCUCCGCCUGGGGAGUAUGGUCGCAAGGCUG